This 532-nucleotide ribosomal RNA is filed under the name Lecidella stigmatea. RNAcentral's name for it is "eukaryotic LSU rRNA". The stretch from base 223 to 376 matches the Rfam family "5.8S ribosomal RNA". The record is from RNAcentral. Lineage: Eukaryota; Fungi; Ascomycota; Lecanoromycetes; Lecanorales; Lecanoraceae.
UGCGGAAGGAUCAUUAUUGAGAGCGGGGCUUCGCGCCCCGGGCGGCUUCACCGCCGCCCACCUCUUCACCCUGUGUGUAAUCUACCUUCGUUGCUUUGACGGGCCUUAAGGGGGCAACCCCAUGCUGUUCGCGGGCUUUGUUGCCCGGGUCGGCGAGUGCCCGUCAGAGGCCCAAUCAAACUCGUUUUAUCAGUGACGUCCGAGUAAAAAUAUAAUGAUCAAAAUUUUCAACAACGGAUCUCUUGGUUCUGGCAUCGAUGAAGAACGCAGCGAAAUGCGAUAAGUAAUGUGAAUUGCAGAAUUCAGUGAAUCAUCGAAUCUUUGAACGCACAUUGCGCCCCUCGGUAUUCCGGGGGGCAUGCCUGUUCGAGCGUCAUUACACCCCUCAAGCAUAGCUUGGUUUUGAGCCUUCGCCCCCGUGGCGGGCCCGAAAAUCAGUGGCGGUCCGGCGUGACUUCGAGCGUAGUAAACCUUCUCCCGCUUUGGAAGCGCGCGCCGUCGACCUGUCAGAACGCCCGACUUUUUUAAUGAU